GGAGGCAUUAGAAGGAUGCAAAGGAGAGAUGGCUUUAGCAGCGACAUUUCAUGGGUUUGUGUGUCUGGCCCCUCAGAGAGGAGGGUAUUGCAGUGGAAUACUUGUGUGGAAGCGGGAGGAGGGAUAGCAUGGGAGAUGUUGAGGGUUUGGGGCAGGAGCCAGCAGCUUAAGGUUAAGAAAAUGAAGAUUCCAUUAAACAUCAUGGAAACGAGUGCAGUUUUGUAUUUGUAAAGUAUUUCCAGUGGCUUCUUCACAGACUGGGCUGAUCCCAGUCCUGGCUCUGAACACACCUGCAAUGGGGACUUUGACUCCAGUGCACAGACUCAAUCCCUCACAUGUAACAGGACCUGAAUUUUCUCAGGGCAUUUGCCUGUACAGCACUGCAGCCAGUAUUGCUGUAACACUUCAGUGAAAAUGCUGCCGAGGGAAGGGCUCCCAGCGGUGUAGUUAAUCCAGCUCCCCAGGGAGGUGGUACCUGCAUAGAGAGAAGCUCUCCUGUUGACAGCUGUCUACAGAUGGGGUGAGGUUGGGAGAACUACAUAGCUCAGGGGUGUGAAUUUUUUACAUCUGAGCGACGUACUUCUACCAAUACAGGCCUGUAAUGUAGACCAGCCCUAAGUCAGAUCUCUGCAUAAAGUGGGGGGAGGGAGAAAGACAUCUCAGACUCUGAAUUAGAAUUUACCAUUUAGCAGAUUGCUGGGGCUCAGUUCUGCCCCCCUUUGCUGAGACUGAGAACUGACUUCCUUGGGGCGGAUGAGGUGGUUUGAUAAAGGAAUCUAGGUAUGUGCAAUAGCAAUAUAAUCACCAAGACAGCUUAUUGGAAAAGAAUAUGCAAGUUGUGCUCAAUGCACCCAGCUACUUAAAGCACGGAUUCAGCUGGUGGGAUGGCAGAUGGCCUUUGUCACUCCUGCUAGCUCAGGCAUCCUGCAGCAGUUGUGUUCUUUCCCCUUCGGUACGUAACUUUUUUUUUUAUCUCCAGGACUCAAGGAAAUUUUUGCUUGAAGGCUUCAGACUGUCUCAUUCCUAUGACCGCCUUGUCCUAACAAGGCGACCAGGAUCCCCUACACUGCUCCAAAGGAGGGACGCAUGGGUGGACAGCUGCAGUUCUUCAUUUCUGCCUCCAUGGCACUGACAUGGAAAAUGUCACAAGGGGAUUUGUUUUGAAAGACUGAUGCGAAAACAGGAUUCUUAUGGAAACUAUUCUCUCAGCCUUAUCGUUAGAUAACAGGCCUUCGCUGAAAUCCACACAGGAGCUAGUCCACCCUCUGGGUAAGUGUGCAAAAUCCCCAUUAAUGACACAGAUUAAAAAUUUAACAGGUCACAGACUUUAAGAAAUACGACUGAGAGCAGUCAGGCUAAGGAGGAUGCACUGGUGCAUGGAAUUGCUGUUCAAACAAGAGUAGGACACAUGCUAUGUACCUACAGCAAGCUGCACUUCCGGCUCCCAAGACCUGCUAAGGGCAGUUAUGCAGUGCAGUUGAUUCAGCUCCCACGCCACUGGACACAGUCAGACGGCAUUUAAACACCCACUGUAUAAAGUGUGAUCAACCCAGCAUCUUGAGCACAACACAUGGUUUAGCCUGGCUUCUGGCAGGAACCAAGCCAUGCUUGAGGGGGACCUGAAGCUGAUGUUACAGAGUUUGCCAGCCAGUACCAUUUUCAGCAUAAUUCUACCCAAUUAAGUUUUGCAGUUGGCAUGGCCUAAAAGUAUCUUUUAGAAUUCAACAGCUGUCUCCACAUUCAUUCCAGUGCAGGGAGCAAAGAGCACAAGCUAAGGGUGGGGUGAGGAAUGCAUUCAUUAAAACUGAUUUUCAAAUAUUAAACUAAUUUG
Molecule: long non-coding RNA, 1831 nt
Organism: Gopherus evgoodei (Goodes thornscrub tortoise)
Lineage: Eukaryota; Metazoa; Chordata; Testudines; Testudinidae
Source: Ensembl